GGGUCAGUAGGUUGGUCGUGCCACCGGUACGUACUGGUCUCACUGAUUCCUCCUUCCCGAAGAACCGUAAUGCCAUUAAUUUGGUGUUGCGGGGAAACAGGACUGUUACUUUGAAGAAAUUAGAGUGUUUAAAGCAAGCCAACGCUUGAAUACAUUAGCAUGGAAUAAUGAAAUAGGACGAUCGAUCCUAUUUUGUUGGUUUCUAGGAUUGACGUA
Molecule: ribosomal RNA, 216 nt
Filed under: Glomeromycotina sp.
Lineage: Eukaryota; Fungi; Glomeromycota
Description: partial small subunit ribosomal RNA
Rfam family: Eukaryotic small subunit ribosomal RNA (bases 75-216)
Source: RNAcentral